RNAcentral lists this ribosomal RNA (442 nucleotides) under uncultured bacterium. RNAcentral describes it as "partial 16S ribosomal RNA". It matches the Rfam family "Bacterial small subunit ribosomal RNA", at positions 28 to 507 of the family's 1533-position model. The record is from RNAcentral.
GAUGAACGCUGGCGGCGUGCCUUAUACAUGCAAGUCGAGCGGGAUGACACCCACGGCGUGCGGGUGAGUAACACGUAGGGGGUGUCCUUGACACAGGAAUAACCCUCCGAAAGGUGGGCUAAUACCUGAUGUGAUCGCAAGAUAAAAGGGUAGCCGCCAGGAUUACCGGACGAGAAGAGGCCUGCGGCCUAUCAGCUAGUUGGCGGGGUACAUGCCCACCAAGGCUAUGACGGGUAGCUGGUCAUAUGUGGAUGGUCAGUCACGUAGGGACUGAGGCACGGGCCCCACUCCUGCGGGAGGCGGCGGUAGGGUAUUUUGCUGGAUGGGCGCAAGCCUGACGCAGCGACGCCGCGUGCGGGAUGAAUGCCUUCUGGUCGUAACCCGCUUUUGUAAGGGACGGACUUUGACGGUACCUUAUGAAUAAGCGGCUGCUAACUCUGUG